GACGGGGGGGGCAAGUGUUCUUCGGAAUGACUGGGCGUAAAGGGCACGUAGGCGGUGAAUCGGGUUGAAAGUGAAAGUCGCCAAAAAAGUGGCGGAAUGCUCUCGAAACCAAUUCACUUGAGUGAGACAGAGGAGAGUGGAAUUUCGUGUGUAGGGGUGAAAUCCGUAAAUAUACGAAGGAACGCCAAAAGCGAAGGCAGCUCUCUGGGUCCCUACCGACGCUGGGGUGCGAAGGCAUGGGGAGCGAACAGG
RNAcentral lists this ribosomal RNA (252 nucleotides) under uncultured bacterium. RNAcentral describes it as "partial 16S ribosomal RNA". It matches the Rfam family "Bacterial small subunit ribosomal RNA", at positions 524 to 776 of the family's 1533-position model. The record is from RNAcentral.